AUUGAACGCUGGCGGCAGGCCUAACACAUGCAAGUCGAGCGGCAGCGCGGGGCAACCUGGCGGCGAGCGGCGGACGGGUGAGUAACGCGUAGGAAUCUACCCAGUAGCGGGGGAUAGCCCGGGGAAACUCGGAUUAAUACCGCAUACGCCCUAAGGGGGAAAGCAGGGGAUCUUCGGACCUUGCACUAUUGGCAGAGCCUGCGUUGGAUUAGCUAGUUGGUAGGGUAAAGGCCUACCAAGGCGACGAUCCAUAACUGGUCUGAGAGGAUGAUCAGUCACACCGGAACUGAGACACGGUCCGGACUCCUACGGGAGGCAGCAGUGGGGAAUAUUGGACAAUAGGGGCGGAACCCUACGAGUCCACG
This 365-nucleotide ribosomal RNA is filed under the name uncultured bacterium. RNAcentral's name for it is "bacterial SSU rRNA". It matches the Rfam family "Bacterial small subunit ribosomal RNA", at positions 29 to 396 of the family's 1533-position model. The record is from RNAcentral.